CGCUGUAGCUCAGUUGGUAGAGCGGCGCUUUCGUAAAGCGUAGGUCACCGGUUCGAAUCCGGUCAGCG
This 68-nucleotide transfer RNA is filed under the name human oral metagenome. It matches the Rfam family "tRNA". From Rfam's summary of the family: Transfer RNA (tRNA) molecules are approximately 80 nucleotides in length. Their secondary structure includes four short double-helical elements and three loops (D, anti-codon, and T loops). The record is from RNAcentral.